This 247-nucleotide ribosomal RNA is filed under the name uncultured Clostridium sp. RNAcentral's name for it is "partial 16S ribosomal RNA". It matches the Rfam family "Bacterial small subunit ribosomal RNA", at positions 796 to 1041 of the family's 1533-position model. The record is from RNAcentral. Lineage: Bacteria; Bacillati; Bacillota; Clostridia; Eubacteriales; Clostridiaceae.
CACGCCGUAAACGAUGAAUACUAGGUGUGGGGGUUGUCAUGACCUCCGUGCCGCCGCUAACGCAUUAAGUAUUCCGCCUGGGGAGUACGGUCGCAAGAUUAAAACUCAAAGGAAUUGACGGGGGCCCGCACAAGCAGCGGAGCAUGUGGUUUAAUUCGAAGCAACGCGAAGAACCUUACCUAGACUUGACAUCUCCUGAAUUACUCUGUAAUGGAGGAAGUCGCUUCGGCGACAGGAAGACAGGUGG